UGGAAAAUUAUCGCUCAAAUUUCAGGAGGCACGUGGAGUUGCUAUGAUAUUGACAACGUCGUCAUAGGUAAAAUUGCGAUAAACAGAUUAUCAUUGGUCAUCUCAACUCGACUGCUUUCGCCAUACCGGGUCAAGCGAGAACAUCAAUCUCGUUGAGAUGAUCAACAAUAAUCUAUAAGUAUAUUGACUGGUAGAUUCCGUUCUUCACAAAUAUGAAUAUAUAUUACGAUCCCAAUUAUUAUAGAAAA
RNAcentral lists this long non-coding RNA (248 nucleotides) under Mytilus galloprovincialis (Mediterranean mussel). The record is from RNAcentral. Lineage: Eukaryota; Metazoa; Mollusca; Bivalvia; Mytilida; Mytilidae.